Molecule: ribosomal RNA, 497 nt
Filed under: uncultured bacterium
Lineage: Bacteria
Description: partial 16S ribosomal RNA
Rfam family: Bacterial small subunit ribosomal RNA
Source: RNAcentral
GAUGAACGCUGGCGGCGUGCCUAAUACAUGCAAGUCGAGCGAAGGGACGAGAAGCUUGCUUCUCUGAUGUUAGGGGCGGACGGGUGAGUAACACGUGGAUAACCUACCUAUAAGACUGGGAUAACUUCGGGAAACCGGAGCUAAUACCGGAUAAUAUUUUGAACCGCAUGGUUCAAAAGUGAAAGACGGUCUUGCUGUCACUGAUAGAUGGAUCCGCGCUGCAUUAGCUAGUUGGUAAGGUAACGGCUUACCAAGGCAACGAUGCAUAGCCGACCUGAGAGGGUGAUCGGCCACACUGGAACUGAGACACGGUCCAGACUCCUACGGGAGGCAGCAGUAGGGAAUCUUCCGCAAUGGGCGAAAGCCUGACGGAGCAACGCCGCGUGAGUGAUGAAGGUCUUCGGAUCGUAAAACUCUGUUAUUAGGGAAGAACAUAUGUGUAAGUAACUGUGCACAUCUUGACGGUACCUAAUCAGAAAGCCACGGCUAACUACGUG